RNAcentral lists this long non-coding RNA (311 nucleotides) under Equus asinus (donkey). RNAcentral's name for it is "lncRNA (ENSEASG00005027500.1)". Lineage: Eukaryota; Metazoa; Chordata; Mammalia; Perissodactyla; Equidae. The record is from RNAcentral.
GGGAGCUAUAAGGACCAUCAAGCCUGGAGCUGCCAUUAGCAACUUCAUCCUGCCUCCCGGGGAGAGCCUGCAUGAGAAUGCCAGGCAGAUGUUAAAAAUGGCAUUGCAGGAAAAUAUUUAAUGAUCUGGAGAGAUGUCCAUGAUACCUCCUUGCAUUCAAAAAAAACAAGCUACAAAACAGUACAUACCCUAUUACUUGCUAUAUCUCUGCUCAUAUCUAUUCAUGUGCAAAUAACAAAAUGGAUGAUAGAUGCCAAGAUAUUAACAGUGGUUCUCUCUGUGACCUGCAGUCCCGACUGUGCCUGAGUGAU